RNAcentral lists this ribosomal RNA (467 nucleotides) under uncultured bacterium. Its description in RNAcentral is "partial 16S ribosomal RNA". It matches the Rfam family "Bacterial small subunit ribosomal RNA", at positions 28 to 507 of the family's 1533-position model. The record is from RNAcentral.
GACGAACGCUGGCGGCGUGCUUAACACAUGCAAGUCGAACGGAAAGGCCCUGCUUUUGUGGGGUGCUCGAGUGGCGAACGGGUGAGUAACACGUGAGUAACCUGCCCUUGACUUUGGGAUAACUUCAGGAAACUGGGGCUAAUACCGGAUAGGAGCUCCUGCUGCAUGGUGGGGGUUGGAAAGUUUCGGCGGUUGGGGAUGGACUCGCGGCUUAUCAGCUUGUUGGUGGGGUAGUGGCUUACCAAGGCUUUGACGGGUAGCCGGCCUGAGAGGGUGACCGGCCACAUUGGGACUGGGGUACGGCCCGGACUGCUACGGGAGGCAGCAGUGGGAAUAUUGCACAAUGGGCGGAAGCCUGAUGCAGCAACGCCGCGUGCGGGAUGACGGCCUUCGGGUUGUAAACCGCUUUCGCCUGUGACGAAGCGUGAGUGACGGUAAUGGGUAAAGAAGCACCGGCUAACUACGUG